AGAGGCAUGAACUAAUCGGUCUGUCAUCUUAUAGGAAGUAGAGGGGUUUGUCAGAAGAACUGUAGUUCAGAGAUCGUUGGCAGGACAGAAUGGAACACACCUUGCUCUGUGUGCUACUCUUGCUGAGUACACUCAUCAACUCUGGACACUCUGAAGAUGAUGAUGCUCUGCCCAAAGCUACACUGACUGUAAAGUCAAACCCUGCAUACACUGGAGAGACAGUUACUCUGACGUGUUCAGUAGGGUCUGACAGUAGCUGGAGCUAUCAGUGGUUCAAAGACAGGAAUGAUAAUGUAGUAUCCCAGUCUGGUUACAGUAACAUUGGAGUCUCUCACACCAUCAGUAGAGCUGGUGUGUCUGACCAGGGUCAGUACUGGUGUGAAGGGAACACAGUGUCUAGACCCACAUCUUCACUACCAAGUGAUCUUGUCACUCUCACUGUAAAAGGUGAAUUACUUUGUUGUGUUUUUUUGUCAUAAAGAUGGACACUAUUGAUAUUGAAUCAAUCAUGGGCUGUGUGUCAGUAUUCUUAGUUAUAACAGCAAAAAUACAGGGAACUUCCAAAAUAAAGAAAGAACCAACAUAAAUUGUUUUAAUAGGGCGUUGGGCCUUUAGCCAGAACAGCUUCAAUGGCAUAGAUUCUAAGUGUCUGUGGUGUUUUGUUGAUGGUGGUGGAAAACACUGUCUCAGGCAACACUCCACAAUCUAACAUAAGUGGUCAAUUGGGUUGAGAUCUGGAGACUGAGACGGCCAUGGAAUAUGAUUUACAUC
Molecule: long non-coding RNA, 771 nt
Organism: Coregonus clupeaformis (lake whitefish)
Lineage: Eukaryota; Metazoa; Chordata; Actinopteri; Salmoniformes; Salmonidae
Exons: 3
Source: RefSeq, a predicted model, not a curated record